GAUGAACGCUGGCGGCGUGCCUUAUACACGCAAGUCGAACGCAUCCUUCGGGGUGAGUGGCGCACGGGUGAGUAACACGUGGGAACCUGCCUUGUGGUUCGGAACAACGUCUGGAAACGGACGCUAAUACCGGAUGUCCCUUGCGAGGGAAAGAUUUAUCGCCAUGAGAGGGGCCCGCGUCCGAUUAGGUAGUUGGUGGGGUAAUGGCCCACCAAGCCGACGAUCGGUAGCUGGUCUGAGAGGAUGAUCAGCCACACUGGGACUGAGACACGGCCAGACUCCUACGGGAGGCAGCAGUGGGGAAUAUUGGACAAUGGGGGCAACCCUGAUCCAGCAAUGCCGCGUGAGUGAUGAAGGCCUUCGGGUUGUAAAGCUCUUUCGCACGCGACGAUGAUGACGGUAGCGUGAGAAGAAGCCCCGGCUAACUUCGUGCCAGCCGCCGCCGUAA
RNAcentral lists this ribosomal RNA (448 nucleotides) under uncultured bacterium. RNAcentral's name for it is "partial 16S ribosomal RNA". It matches the Rfam family "Bacterial small subunit ribosomal RNA", at positions 28 to 523 of the family's 1533-position model. The record is from RNAcentral.